RNAcentral lists this unclassified non-coding RNA (90 nucleotides) under Singulisphaera sp. GP187. The record is from RNAcentral. Lineage: Bacteria; Pseudomonadati; Planctomycetota; Planctomycetia; Isosphaerales; Isosphaeraceae.
GAGAGCCGUAUGCGAGAAAUCCGCCUGUACGUUUCGAUGAGCGAGGAGUGAAAACGGAGCGUCGGCCACCGCGUCACUCCUGGGCUCUAC